GGCUUCAUGGUCUAGUGGUAUGAUUCGUGCUUUGGGAGUUCUGCUCAACUGUACGAGGCCCCGGGUUCGAACCCCGGUGGAGCCC
Ilyonectria destructans is the source of this 85-nucleotide non-coding RNA. The record is from the annotation of a GenBank genome assembly. NCBI's taxonomy places the organism in Eukaryota, Fungi, Ascomycota, Sordariomycetes, Hypocreales, Nectriaceae.